Molecule: ribosomal RNA, 253 nt
Filed under: uncultured bacterium
Lineage: Bacteria
Description: partial 16S ribosomal RNA
Rfam family: Bacterial small subunit ribosomal RNA
Source: RNAcentral
UACGAAGGGGGCUAGCGUUGUUCGGAAUCAUUGGGCGUAAAGGGCGCGUAGGCGGUUCCGCAAGUCGGGCGUGAAAGCCCUGGGCUUAACCCAGGAAUUGCGUUCGAAACUGCGGGGCUAGAGGCCGGGAGAGGAGAGUGGAAUUCCCAGUGUAGAGGUGAAAUUCGUAGAUAUUGGGAAGAACACCGGUGGCGAAGGCGGCUCUCUGGACCGGUUCUGACGCUGAGGCGCGAAAGCGUGGGGAGCAAACAGG